Molecule: non-coding RNA, 498 nt
Organism: Pelobates cultripes (western spadefoot toad)
Lineage: Eukaryota; Metazoa; Chordata; Amphibia; Anura; Pelobatidae
Source: the annotation of a GenBank genome assembly
GGAACUUUGAGGCGGCCAAUAUCAUCAUGGCCAGUAGACCAGAGCUUGAUAGGGAUCCUCUCCAGAGCACUGGGGGCAUGAGGGACCCUUGAUUCCCCUGCAGGAGAUUCUAAAUGUAACAGUAAUGGGAGGGAGCAAAGCGCUGAAGUGUCCUUUCGUGAUAAAGGUGUGUUUAGCUGAACUUGGCCAUCUGCGGUAAAGGUAAUAGAUGCUUGAAGACGGGACAGAACAUCAGCACCCAAUAGGUUAAUGGGGCAGGUAGAGGAAACAACAAAUCAGGACAGAAUGUCAGAACCCACACGGAGGAGCUUAGUGAGGGGGUUACUGCGGGGAGUACCAUCAACACCAACGCAAGAGACAUCGAUGUCAGACAAAAAGGAGGGAUCAGGCAGGUCUUGUUCUCUGAGAACACUACGGGCUGCACCUGUGUCAACUAAGAAAGUAGUGGGGUGUCCCUCAGUGGGAAGAACUACAGUAGCUAGGGGCACUCCCUCAUCC